ACCCCACUAUGCCAAGCCGUAAAAAAUUAACUCACAACAACCAACGCCAGGGUAUUACGAGCCCCCGCUUAAAACCCAAAGGACUUGACGGUGUCCCACCCUACUAGAGGAGCCUGUUCUAUAAUCGAUAACCCACGUUAUACCUAACCAUCUUUUGCCUCUCAGUCUGUAUACCUCCGUCGCAAGCCUACCCUAUGAAUGAACAACAGUAGGCUCAAUAGUCCCACACUUUAACGUCAGGUCAAGGUGCAGCUUAUAAGAUGGAAAGUAAUGAGCUACAAUUUCUAACUUAGAACAAACGAAUUACUACAUGAAACAUAGUCAUGAAGGCGGAUUUAGUAGUAAAUGGGGAAUAGAGAGCCCCAUUAAAAUCGGCCCUGGGACGUGUACACACCGC
RNAcentral lists this ribosomal RNA (397 nucleotides) under Philautus amabilis. RNAcentral describes it as "partial small subunit ribosomal RNA". It matches the Rfam family "Bacterial small subunit ribosomal RNA", at positions 784 to 1393 of the family's 1533-position model. The record is from RNAcentral. Lineage: Eukaryota; Metazoa; Chordata; Amphibia; Anura; Rhacophoridae.